UAGGGUAUCUUCCACAAUGGACGCAAGUCUGAUGGAGCAACGCCGCGUGAGUGAAGAAGGUUUUCGGAUCGUAAAGCUCUGUUGUUGGUGAAGAAGGAUAGAGGUAGUAACUGGCCUUUAUUUGACGGUAAUCAACCAGAAAGUCACGGCUAACUACGUGCCAGCAGCCGCGGUAAUACGUAGGUGGCAAGCGUUGUCCGGAUUUAUUGGGCGUAAAGCGAGCGCAGGCGGAAGAAUAAGUCUGAUGUGAAAGCCCUCGGCUUAACCGAGGAACUGCAUCGGAAACUGUGUUUCUUGAGUGCAGAAGAGGAGAGUGGAAUUCCCUGUGUAGCGGUGGAAUGCGUAGAUAUAUGGAAGAACACCAGUGUCGAGGGCGACUCUCUGGUCUGCAACUGACACUGAGGCUCGAAAGCAUGGGUAGCGAACAGG
This 429-nucleotide ribosomal RNA is filed under the name bacterium. RNAcentral's name for it is "partial 16S ribosomal RNA". It matches the Rfam family "Bacterial small subunit ribosomal RNA", at positions 355 to 776 of the family's 1533-position model. The record is from RNAcentral.